RNAcentral lists this ribosomal RNA (263 nucleotides) under uncultured bacterium. RNAcentral describes it as "partial 16S ribosomal RNA". It matches the Rfam family "Bacterial small subunit ribosomal RNA", at positions 337 to 592 of the family's 1533-position model. The record is from RNAcentral.
ACCUACGGGAGGCAGCAGUGGGGAAUAUUGCGCAAUGGACGAAAGUCUGACGCAGCGACGCCGCGUGAGUGAAGAAGGGUUUCGGCUCGUAAAGCUCUGUUGGUAGUGAAGAAAGAUAGAGGGAGUAACUGGCCUUUAUUUGACGGUAAUUACUUAGAAAGUCACGGCUAACUACGUGCCAGCAGCCGCGGUAAUACGUAGGUGGCAAGCGUUGUCCGGAUUUAUUGGGCGUAAAGCGAGUGCAGGCGGGUCAAUAAGUUUGA